UACGGAGGGGGCUAGCGUUGUUCGGAAUUACUGGGCGUAAAGCGCACGUAGGCGGCUUUGUAAGUUAGAGGUGAAAGCCCGGGGCUCAACCCCGGAAUUGCCUUUAAGACUGCAUCGCUAGAAUUGUGGAGAGGUGAGUGGAAUUCCGAGUGUAGAGGUGAAAUUCGUAGAUAUUCGGAAGAACACCAGUGGCGAAGGCGACUCACUGGACACAUAUUGACGCUGAGGCGCGAAAGCUAGGGUAGCAAACGGG
RNAcentral lists this ribosomal RNA (253 nucleotides) under uncultured bacterium. Its description in RNAcentral is "partial 16S ribosomal RNA". It matches the Rfam family "Bacterial small subunit ribosomal RNA", at positions 524 to 776 of the family's 1533-position model. The record is from RNAcentral.